RNAcentral lists this ribosomal RNA (41 nucleotides) under Sabal palmetto (cabbage palmetto). RNAcentral describes it as "partial 28S ribosomal RNA". The record is from RNAcentral. Lineage: Eukaryota; Viridiplantae; Streptophyta; Magnoliopsida; Arecales; Arecaceae.
AGGUCGGGGGAGGCUCCCCGCCGACUUUAACCAURUCAAUA